This 378-nucleotide non-coding RNA is filed under the name Ancylostoma duodenale. RNAcentral describes it as "Eukaryotic large subunit ribosomal RNA". It matches the Rfam family "Eukaryotic large subunit ribosomal RNA", at positions 956 to 1444 of the family's 3401-position model. Lineage: Eukaryota; Metazoa; Nematoda; Chromadorea; Rhabditida; Ancylostomatidae. The record is from Rfam by way of RNAcentral.
UCCUUAAGAAGUGGUCAUUAUGAACUGCAGCCAGAUACCUGAAUGGCUGCAAGUAGGUCAUUUUUGGUAAAAAGAAAUAGCGCUGUGUGAUGAAUCAAACUUUGGGUUAAGGCGCCUAACUUCGCGCUCAUGAGAACCAAAAAAGGCUUUGGUUGAUAUAGACAGCAGGACGGUGAACAUAGAUGCCUACCCCUACUAAGGAAUGUGUACAACUCACUUGCCAAAUCAACUAGCCGUGGAAAUGGAUGGUGCUCGAGCGAGAGACAUAUAACCACCGUUGCUGGCCAAUACGUUGGCUAGUUCCUGCCGCAAUGACUGAGAAGGUCGUGGUGGUUGCGUCGAAGGCUUGGCUAGACCCAUCUGGAGCUUCUGCUAGUG